This 844-nucleotide ribosomal RNA is filed under the name uncultured bacterium. Its description in RNAcentral is "bacterial SSU rRNA". It matches the Rfam family "Bacterial small subunit ribosomal RNA", at positions 518 to 1369 of the family's 1533-position model. The record is from RNAcentral.
CGGUAAUACAUAGGUCCCAAGCGUUAUCCGGAUUUACUGGGCGUAAAGUGUCCGUAGCCGGACAUAUAAGUCUGUUUUCAAAUCCUAUGGCUCAACUAUAGACAGGGAAUAGAUACUGUAUGUCUGGAAGUUAUUGGGGGUUAGUGGAAUUUCAGGUGGAGCGGUGAAAUGCGUUGAUAUCUGAAAGAACGCCGAAAGCGAAAGCAGCUAACUACAAUAAACUUGACGGUAAUGGACGAAAGCUUGGGGAGCGAACGGGAUUAGAUACCCCGGUAGUCCAAGCUGUAAAUGAUGCUUGCUAGAUGUUUUGGACCCUUGUGGUCUGGAGUGUCGUAAUCUAACGAGUUAAGCAAGCCGCCUGGGUAGUAUAUUCGCAAGAAUGAAACUCAAAGGGAUAGGCGGGGGAACACACAAGCAGUGGAUUGUCUAGAUUAAUUGGACAAUAAGCCAAGAAUCUUACCUAGAUUUGACAUGUACUAUGUCCUAUGUGAAAGCAUAGUAGUCCGAGCAAUCGGACAUGGUAUACAGGUGGUGCAUGGUCGUCGUCAGCUCGUGCCGCAAGGUGUCUAGUUAAGUCUGGAAACGAGCGCAACCCUCAUCUUUAGUUAGAAUGUCUAAAGAGACUGCUCCGGUAACGGAGAGGAAGGAGAGGAUGACGUCAGAUCCUCAUGCCCCUUACAUCUAGGGCUUCAUAGACAAUACAAUGGGUGAUACAACGAGAAGCUAAGCCGCGAGGUGGAGCAAACCUCUGAAAUCAUCCCAAGUUCGGAUUGUAGUCUGGAACUCGACUACAUGAAGUUGGAAUUGCUAGUAAGGCGGGUCAUCUACACCGACCGUGNAAUAC